AGACCAUGGUAUUGGCACUUACAGAAAAUUAACUUAAAGUUCUCUCAUGCCUCAUAUAAUGACUUUGCUUCCAAUUGUCUAAAAUUCGUAAUAUUCAUACUAAGUUU
Molecule: small nucleolar RNA, 107 nt
Filed under: Gossypium hirsutum (cotton)
Lineage: Eukaryota; Viridiplantae; Streptophyta; Magnoliopsida; Malvales; Malvaceae
Description: Plant small nucleolar RNA R71
Rfam family: Plant small nucleolar RNA R71
About the family: R71 is a member of the C/D box family of snoRNAs containing the C (UGAUGA) and D (CUGA) box motifs. Multiple nearly identical copies of this snoRNA have been identified in Arabidopsis, and it is thought to function as a 2'-O-ribose methylation guide for 18S ribosomal RNA.
Source: Rfam by way of RNAcentral